GCACGCCUCCGCUACCGUCUCUGUCACCGCCGCCACCGCGCCGCCGUGGAGGGUGUUGUAGGGGUUCGUGACGGAGGGCUUGACGGUGAAGGAGCAGGUGAGGCGGCCGCGGUCGAUGGUCUCGAUUUUGAUGAGUCCGCGGAUGAGGUCGGAGUGGAAAUUGGGGGAGGUUGAGGAGUCGGGGAUGGGGGUGAAGAGGCCGAGGGCGCGAAAGAAGCCCU
This 221-nucleotide unclassified non-coding RNA is filed under the name Hevea brasiliensis (rubber tree). The record is from RNAcentral. Lineage: Eukaryota; Viridiplantae; Streptophyta; Magnoliopsida; Malpighiales; Euphorbiaceae.